This 1052-nucleotide long non-coding RNA is filed under the name Rattus norvegicus (Norway rat). Its description in RNAcentral is "long non-coding RNA NONRATT030852". The record is from RNAcentral. Lineage: Eukaryota; Metazoa; Chordata; Mammalia; Rodentia; Muridae.
AGAGUACUGCUCCUAUACCAGGACUCUCGUAAAGCUAAUUAGCUGAACUUCAGAAAGAAAGAAUAAUUUCCACGUUUUGUAUAUAUCUGACAAAACUGGCAACAUCAUACAGACUACUGACUUGAAGACAACCUCUUUUAUAUUUCUCGAUUUAUGGGCUAAUGAAUUUGUUUUCACCUAUCUUUUCCCUUUCAGAAUUUUCCUUGGGGGAAAAAAUACUAGUCAUUUCUUUGUUAAGGUAGUUAGCAAUAUUAAGUCUUUCUUUGGUCAACUUUUUUUUUUAAUGUGAAAAGUUAAGUAAGAAACUUUUUUACUGCUUUUAUGAUUUUCUGUCUUGUUUUGAAACCAUGAUGGUUAUACUUUUGGUUCCCAAAUAAAACAUUUAAAGAAAAAUUAAUUAACAGCAAAGUCACAAAGAUAAUGGAUUGCACAUAUACUAAGAAAUAAACUUCAAAUUUGUGAUUUUUUGUUUCUAAUCUUGAUGUAAAUUUACACUAUUUAUAAAUACAUAUUUAUUGCCUGAAAAUAUUUGUGAAUGGAAUGCCGUUAUUUUUUCCAGAUUUACCUGCCAUUGAAAUUUUAAGGAGUUCUGUAAUUUCAAACACUACUCCUAUUACAUUUUCUAUGUGUAAAUAAAACUGCUUAGCAUUGUACAGAAACUUUUAUUAAAAUUGUUUAAUCUUUAAAGAGUUUUCUAUUGUUUGAGUUUUACAAAGAAUUUAUGUACAGUGCCCAAUUUUUGUUCAAUUUUCAAAUCUGAUUAUAUAUAUUUUAUAUAUACUUAUGUCUGUAUAUAUAAUAUAUAUAUAUAUAGAAAUCUAGAUAUAUAUGUAUAAAGAUUUAGAACUUGAAUUUUUCUUGUUUUAAGUUUCACAUCUAUGGUAGAUUUUUCAGGUGUCUACUGUAAAAUAUUGCUUACAAAAAGUAUGAUUAUUUUUAAAGAAAUAUAUAUGGUAUGUAUCUUCAAGAGCUAAAAUGUCAGACUGGUUUAUUGUUAAAUUGCAACUACUGCAAUUACAGACAAAUAAAAAAAAAUCUGCCAAAUGCAGUAU